AUUGAACGCUGGCGGCAGGCCUAACACAUGCAAGUCGAGCGGCAGAAGGGAGCUAGCUUGCGGAUUCGGCGGGGGACGGGCGGGUGAUGCCUGGGUACCUGCCUGGCAGUUGGGGCGUAGGUGAGAAAACGGGCGCAAUUACCGUAAUAGCCCAGACGGCGAAAGGGGGGGAUCAUCGGACCUUACGACAUUAGACGAGCCUAGGAGGGAUUAGCGAGUUGGUGGGGUAAAGGGCUACCAAGGCGACGAUCCGUAACUGGUCUGAGAGGAUGAUCAGUCACACUGGAACUGAGACACGGUCCAGACUCCUACGGGAGGCAACAGUGGGGAAUAUUGGACAAUGGGCGAAAGCCUGAUCCAGCCAUGCCGCGUGGGUGAAGAAGGUCUUCGGAUUGUAAAGCCCUUUUAUUUGGGAGGAAGGGCAGUAAGUUAAUACCUUGCUGUUUUGACGGUACCAACAGAAUAAGCACCGGCUAACUUCGUG
This 484-nucleotide ribosomal RNA is filed under the name uncultured bacterium. RNAcentral's name for it is "partial 16S ribosomal RNA". It matches the Rfam family "Bacterial small subunit ribosomal RNA", at positions 29 to 507 of the family's 1533-position model. The record is from RNAcentral.